UACGUAGGGUGCGAGCGUUAAUCGGAAUUACUGGGCGUAAAGCGUGCGCAGGCGGUUUUGUAAGUCAGAUGUGAAAUCCCCGGGCUUAACCUGGGAAUGGCAUUUGGGACUGCAAGGCUUGAGUGCGGCAGAGGAGACUGGAAUUCCUGGUGUAGCAGUGAAAUGCGUAGAUAUGCGGAGGAACACCGAUGGCGAAGGCAAUCCCCUGGGCCUGCACUGACGCUCAUGCACGAAAGCGUGGGGAGCAAACAGG
This 253-nucleotide ribosomal RNA is filed under the name uncultured bacterium. RNAcentral's name for it is "partial 16S ribosomal RNA". It matches the Rfam family "Bacterial small subunit ribosomal RNA", at positions 524 to 776 of the family's 1533-position model. The record is from RNAcentral.